GAUUAACCAGAUUAUGUUAGGUGGUCUAUUAACCAAGAAUUUUUGGUUAAUAAUCCACCUAACAUAAUCUGAUU
RNAcentral lists this microRNA precursor (74 nucleotides) under Paramuricea clavata. The record is from RNAcentral. Lineage: Eukaryota; Metazoa; Cnidaria; Anthozoa; Malacalcyonacea; Plexauridae.